GACGAACGCUGGCGGCGUGCUUAACACAUGCAAGUCGAACGGUGAAGCGCCUUCCUUUUUGGUGGGUGUGGAUGAGUGGCGAACGGGUGAGUAACACGUGAGUAACCUGCCCCCUUCUUCUGGAUAACCGCAUGAAAGUGUGGCUAAUACGGGAUAUUCUGGGUCUGUCGCAUGAUGGGUCUGGGAAAGAUAUUGUUUCGGUGGGGGAUGGGCUCGCGGCCUAUCAGCUUGUUGGUGGGGUGAUGGCCUACCAAGGCGGUGAGGGGUAGCCGGCCUGAGAGGGUGGACGGUCACACUGGGACUGCGACCAGGACGAGACUGCUACGGGGGGCAGCAGUGGGGAAUAUUGAACAAUGGGCGCAAGUCUGAUGCAGCGACGCCGCGGGAGGGAUGGAGGCCUGCGGGUUGUGAACCUCUUUCGCCAGUGAAGCAGGCCUGCCUCGUUUGUGGGUGGGUUGACGGUAGCUGGAUAAGAAGCGCCGGCUAACUACGUG
This 494-nucleotide ribosomal RNA is filed under the name uncultured bacterium. RNAcentral's name for it is "partial 16S ribosomal RNA". It matches the Rfam family "Bacterial small subunit ribosomal RNA", at positions 28 to 507 of the family's 1533-position model. The record is from RNAcentral.